UAUUGNGCANGGGGGGAAACCUGACGCAGCGACGCCGCGUUGCGGGAAGAAGGCCUUCGGGUCGUAAACCGCUGUCAGGAGGGAAGAAACUGUUAGGGUAUAAUACGCCCUUUCACUGACGGUACCUCCAAAGGAAGCACCGGCUAACUCCGUGCCAGCAGCCGCGGUAAUACGGAGGGUGCGAGCGUUAAUCGGAAUCACUGGGCGUAAAGCGCACGUAGGCGGCGCAUCAAGUCAGGCGUGAAAGCCCUCGGCUCAACCGGGGAAUUGCGUUUGAAACUGGUGCGCUGGAGUCUCGGAGAGGUUGGCGGAAUUCCAGGUGUAGGAGUGAAAUCCGUAGAUAUCUGGAGGAACACCGGUGGCGAAGGCGGCCAACUGGACGAGAACUGACGCUGAGGUGCGAAAGCGUGGGUAGCAAACAGGAUUAGAUACCCUGGUAGUCCACGCUGUAAACGAUGGAUAUUAGGUGUCGGGGGUUACCUUCGGUGCCGCAGUUAACGCGUUAAAUAUCCCGCCUGGGGAGUACGGUCGCAAGGCUGAAACUCAAAGGAAUUUGACGGG
Molecule: ribosomal RNA, 561 nt
Filed under: sulfate-reducing bacterium enrichment clone GmS2
Lineage: Bacteria
Description: bacterial SSU rRNA
Rfam family: Bacterial small subunit ribosomal RNA
Source: RNAcentral